Molecule: ribosomal RNA, 253 nt
Filed under: uncultured bacterium
Lineage: Bacteria
Description: partial 16S ribosomal RNA
Rfam family: Bacterial small subunit ribosomal RNA
Source: RNAcentral
GACAGAGGCCUCGAGCGUUAGGCGGAAUCACUGGGCUUAAAGCGUGUGUAGGCGGGCCCGUCAGUACCUUGUGAAAUCCCACGGCUCAACCGUGGAACCGCUGGGUAUACUGCGGGUCUUGGGCCGACUAGGGGCAGCCGGAACAAGCGGUGGAGCGGUGAGAUGCGUAGAUAUCGCUUGGAACGCCGAAGGUGAAAACAGGCUGCUGGGGUCGCGCCGACGCUGAGACACGAAAGCCAGGGGAGCAAACGGG